AUACGGAGGGUGCGAGCGUUAAUCGGAAUUACUGGGCGUAAAGCGUACGUAGGCGGUUUGCUAAGUCAGAUGUGAAAGCCCCGGGCUUAACCUGGGAACUGCAUUUGAUACUGGCAGACUAGAGUAUGAUAGAGGGGGGUAGAAUUCCUGGUGUAUCGGUGAAAUGCGUAGAUAUCAGGAGGAAUACCAGUGGCGAAGGCGGCCCCCUGGAUCAAUACUGACGCUGAGGUACGAAAGCGUGGGGAGCGAACAGGAUUAGAUACCCUAGUAGUCC
This 274-nucleotide ribosomal RNA is filed under the name uncultured bacterium. RNAcentral describes it as "partial 16S ribosomal RNA". It matches the Rfam family "Bacterial small subunit ribosomal RNA", at positions 523 to 796 of the family's 1533-position model. The record is from RNAcentral.